This 253-nucleotide ribosomal RNA is filed under the name uncultured bacterium. Its description in RNAcentral is "partial 16S ribosomal RNA". It matches the Rfam family "Bacterial small subunit ribosomal RNA", at positions 524 to 776 of the family's 1533-position model. The record is from RNAcentral.
UACAGAGGUCCCAAGCGUUGUUCGGAUUCACUGGGCGUAAAGGGUGCGUAGGCGGUCGGGUAAGUCUGAUGUGAAAUCUCACAGCUUAACUGUGAAACUGCAUUGGAUACUAUCCGGCUCGAGGAAUGGAGGGGAGACUGGAAUACUUGGUGUAGCAGUGAAAUGCGCAGAUAUCGGGAGGAACACCGGUGGCGAAGGCGGUUCUCUGGGCCUUACCUGACACUGAGGAGCGAAAGCGUGGGGAGCGAACAGG